UUUUCCUUGUGUGCCUGGGUUGUAAGGCCUUUUUGCUGUGACAGAGAGGGGCACCUCUGAAGGUAUCCUGUGGCGGUAGAAGGCUUGUUUCUGAACCUGCAAGUGCCUCACAGACUGUCCUGAAAUGCCAACUGUCUGUCAAUGUCAUCCAUCAAGGGCAGAUCAAGGAUUCACUCUGACAGACAUAUAUGGCUUCAAAGUAACGUGCCUUACAUUCCAUAAACUGAAUUAAACACUUGUUAUAAAGCGAGACGCUUCAGACCAAUGUGGAAUGUAGGGAACCCCCAGGAUGAUUUUUAAAGCACUCAGAAGUACCAAGGAUGACUUCAUAAUCACCAGGUGGGCUGGUGCAAGGUACCUGGAGCAUCUACUCAACAACUGGCUGAGAAAGUGUUAAUGCUCUCCUAUGCACUGAGACCUCAGCUGCACUCACUGAUUGCUGAGGUUGUCAGCCCAGCAGCCCUGGUGACUUGGGAAAUGUCUCCUGUGUUGUAAGGAGGAACUCUUCAGCUAGAAAGAAAAGAAAAAGAGAUUCCUUGGAAAGGAAGGGAGACACUUCUGCUCUUGUAGCCACUGGGAGAGAAGUUUCCAGAGCACAUGGGCAGACUGGUAGGGGAGCCUAGCGACAAGAGAGUUUGCAGCACACUGGAGAUCACUGAGAAUGGGGCACAGACAACCUGCCUAAAGUGCAAGCUGACGAAGAGGCUUUUCCUGGCGCUUGGAAGACCAUGCAGUCUGCCAAAACCCAGAAAGUGACUGAGCUGGAUUUCAGCCAAGCCCUCCAAAAAAGAUUUAUCCACCAAGAACAUGGUAAGAUCUUAAUUUGCAAGUUCUCUUAUUUUCAUUGUUUGCUCUUCAUUUUAGAAGUUAGCCUUUCUGUUUGUAUUUUGAAAAGAAGUAGCUUUUGCUUUUGAAAGCCUUUUGAGCACUUUUGGGCUGUACAGAAUGAUGUGACAAGACUUUAUAAGUUUGACUUUCAUAUGUUGACAUUGUGCAUCUUCUCAGAUUGGUCUGCGCAAAUAAUUUGUAAACUCUUCAAACCUUUUUUGUUUGUUUGUUUUUUACCAUCCCUGAAACCAUGGUCUUCUGACAAGUAGGCUUGGCAUCUACUGUCUCCAAAUGCUAAAGUAAUACAUACACUUAUACUGAGGUCACACAAGGCAUGCUGUUGAAUUAAGGUAUUAAUUUUGUUUUCUCCAUUGGAUGGGAGUCAUUUUGCUCUCCUCAUGCAAUGCUUGGAAUUAUCACCUUUUAUUAAUAGUGCUGUCAUGUUUUUGUGACACAGUGACAGAUUUGGACCUUUUCCUCUUUAAGCUAUAUGCCGCUUUUUUCUUUUUUUUUUUUUAAAGUUGUUUUAAUUAUGUAAUUGCAGACAAACUUCAAGACCACCCAAGUUAGGUUAAGAUUACAAACAGUUUCAUAUGAUCACUUCCAUGAAUUUUCCAGUUUUCAGUAUUGUUGUACUUUUAAAUGGACACCUGGGAAACCUUAAUGUUCUGUAUAUGGUAGUAGCAAUUUACUAGUACCUUUGAGACAGCAAAAGCUGUCAAAAAGCCUCAAAAAGUUCACAUGAAAGUAGUUAUCUCAGAUGAGCAAUACAUCCUAGCCUACCCCAAUGAAAGCUACUGGCAAAAUACCAUAAGUAAAGCAAAGACAAUUGCUGACAGGUAACUGAUGCUUAGUAAUUUGCAACUUAAAUUGUUUCAUCUUUAGAGGAUAGGAACCUGCUCUUUUCAACUGGCUUUUUUUAAGAGUGCUUGAUCAGCAAAGUGAUAUAGUAAAAUGCAAGUAAAAACUAUUGGAAGGGACUGAAAAGACAGCUUGCUUUUUGAGAAAAGCUGUUGUUUUUACUGUGCUGGGGCCCAUUUAGAUUCAAUUUGCACUGUUUCCUCCAGAUUUUAUGGAGCUUUUACUUUCAUGACUUCGAACAGCAUCUCUGUCAAAAUCCACAUCAUAGAAUUAGGCCUGUAGAGGCAUUUUAUGGCACCUUCCCCUGGAUAGCUGUAAAAAGAGGAGUGUGUCCACAGUAUAACUUCAGAUCAGCUAGACAGCUUUCCGUUAUUAAAGUAGUCAUGCUGCUAUACAUAAAGGGAUCCAGCAUUUUCCUCAAAGCUCUCUGUCAAAAGUGAAGACUUCCCUGAUUGUUCUAUUGGAUGUUCUCUAUUUUGAAGAGCCUCAGGAUAAAAGAAGAUAUACUUCCAGAUGUCUCUGUGAACUCUUAUUCUAUUAUUUGUCUUGUAAAGACAUGAAAAAUUUCCUAGCUCUAGCCUGUUCAAUUUAUUAUGUAUUUUUAUAGGCAAAAUACUAAUAAUUGAGAACACAGUAAAAGAUCCUGCUCUUCUGCAGUGAGAUAAAUGUUAAGCAAUUCUACUAGGUUUUGUAAUGUAACCUGGCCUUUAAAAUAUAUAUCAUGUAAAACAAAACAUGGGAUAGAUCAAAAUAUAAGAAAAUAAUUUAAUGGAGACACAAAGUUUGCCAGCAUUAGUAUGGCAAAAGGAAUGAAUUAUUCAGUCUGCUAUGUCUUACUUGGACUGAAUGUCGUUCUUAAACAUACAAUUGGACUGAUAAUUUCGGCUUUGUUGUUACGCAGUUGCACAGCUUCAAACCAACAGGCAAGCAAACACCAAGUGCCUCCAAGUGGCGUGAGUGCAUCCAUUGAACUUACUUGCUUACUGUGUUCUCCCAUGUAGUACCUGCUGUGUCAAAGUGGAAGGGUUGAUGCAUUUAAAUGAAAAACCUUCUUGUGAGAACUGUCUAACCUAGUCCUCAGGAGAACUAGGCAAGGCAAGAAGGCUACUCAGCAAGAGCUUGAAGUUAAUUAUGACAGAUAUUGGCAUCCUGUCUGAAAACAUGUUUGCAGUGAAACGUUUUAACUGCAGUAGACUGAAAUCUGUCACUGUUACCUGAGUUUGUGUAAUAGUCUCUAGAUACCCUUUAGAGUAAAAUGGUUUAGUUGCAGAAGGCACAGUUUCCUGAAAGCCAAAUGUUUUACAGUAAAAGAUUGGUCAAGCUGAGCAGAAGUGGAAAAUGCAAUCCAACCUCUCCCAGAUUGCUAAAUAGCAGAUUACAAUUAAGCCACAGUUCCAAAUGGGAAAAUAAUUUGAUUGCCUUGCAUGAUCUACAGCUCUUGGUUCUCUUGCCUUUCAUUCAAUCUACCUUGAAUUGGAUAUUCUGUAAUCGUGGAUCUAAAACAGGGAUUGGUGGUGGUCACAAGUAGGAAGCCCUGGAAGAAAAGAACUUUUCUCCUAUAGUCUAGCUGUAAGCAAGAUGUUUACAGAUUCAUAAUAGUGAUUUGAGAACCUGGGUAUGGGGGUUAUUGAGAGCUAUCAGACACAGGGAAUACUUAUAGCAUCUGCAAUGUUAACACCAGUGAGAAGCACAUACAUGUAUGUAAAGCUCUUUGAGAAAGGUGUGACUGAAUUUAUCACGGUGGUGACAGCUAGACCAUACAAUGAAUAAUGCAUCUAAAUGUCACAAUACCAGGAAGGCAUCAUCUCAAAGAGCAUACAAGUUUCACUGCUUGCUGCCCAAGUAGGUGGGAAUUUUGCUUGCAUAUCAUUUUUGCUAAAGCCUGCCUGGGUUAAUACAUCACUGGUAGUAUUUCAAGCAAGAUCACCUGUUUAAUAGACCGUAUCUCUUCUCUAGGCUGGAACUGGAGAAGAACAAUGGUUUCCUAUUAGCAAACUACUUAUAGGGAGAAAUGUAAAUAUUUCACUUAUCUGUGGGAUUUUUUAUUUUAUUUUAUUUUAAUUUUUUUUAAGAAAAAAGAAUCAGGAAAACUCAAGACAUGAUCUUUUCUCCCUUUCUGUAAAUAUGAAAAAACAUUAUCUACUGCAAUUUCUAUUUUAUUUUGCUAUUUAUAAUGUUAAUAUUUUUUCACAUUUUUCACUUCCUCAUAAAUCACGUGCAGUAGCUGUUAAUUGUGAAGUAACUCAGAAUAUUAAUGAGCACUUCAGAAAGAGAGAGUGGUAAAUUCAGGAGUCCUAUUGCUGGCUCAAAACGCCGGAUGCUUAAAUAAGCGUGGGGCUUACAUUUGUUGAAUUGACAGCUUGUGAGGAAAAUACAAGAACAAAGAGGACGGUCCUUAAGAAUUUGCUGUGCUAUGGAGGACAUAAGCAUACAUUAUGUGUACCAGACCACUCAACAAUCUCAGGUGAUUAUUGUUUGCAUUGAUGCUCUUUAGUAUUUUUAUUGGACAUUGUGAACAUGCAGCUUACCAAAGUUCAAAGGCCUAUUUUACCUCAGCAAAGAAUAAGUUUCUUAUCCUGUGUGCUACAUAAAAACCUAUCAUCUGUUCUGUGUCUUUCUUUGGUGGAAGAAGCCCUGUGCUUCCUACAGCAGGCAGUGCUUUUGGUCAGUGGUUCAAUUUACCAUAAUGGUCAGGGCCUAAUGACCGAGGAGCAAGCCAGCAUGGCAGAGUGGGAUGUCUCCUUCAAGCAUGAAGGAAUGUAAAUGAGUGAAAACUUCCUGACUGUGAAGAUGGGUGUGUUCUGUAGUUUCAGAGAAAGGCAUGGCUCUUAACUGCAAAAUAAUUCAUUGUUAUGGUCCUAUUUUCCUUCAGUAAGAGGUAAAACUCCCUUUAAUUCUUAUAACAAAUAGAGAGAUGACUCUGUAGAGCCCAGUGCCUUGUUCGAGUUACGUGAUUCAUUCUGUCCUGCAUUGCAUAAAAUAAAAACAGCUGCAUAUUAUACUGCAGUGUUAGUUCUGGGGAUCCAACCAGUUUCUGGCAUCAGGGAAGCUGUGGUGAUCUGCUGAAAUUGAAAGGUGGUUUCUGUGUGUGUCUACUGAGCAUAUCAUGAUUUACCCAUAGAUCCUAGAGAGUUCAGCAUUGGUAUUGGUCAAAGUUAUUUCUUAAUAUGGUUUACGGUUUGUGUUGUAGUUCCAGCAGCAUUGCCCAUUGGCACCAUUUGUCCUGUUAACCUGAUUAUCAUGAGUAUCAUGGGGGAUUAUGGUUUGCUGAAACAAAACAGAAUCACAUUGUUAUAGAAGCUUUGGGAGCAACAUUCCCUGGGAAGGUUUAGUUGGAAUUUAUAUAUGUAGUAGAAAUAAUAUCUCUUGGUUACAACUACACUUCAGUUAACUCGCUUAAUUUUGCUCGAAUGUCUACAGCAUACUGACAUAUUUUUCUCCACGAAUUAUAUUUAUUCUAGUGAAUGGUUUCAAAAGAAAGGUUCACAGCAUGAUACAUUAUCCACCCAAUAAGUAUUUUAAAGUAGACCUUUAUUUGUCAUUUAAAGAAGUAAGAAAAAUACCUAUUAGUUAGAUAAGGUCUGGAACAUUUUCAUGUUGUCAGGAUUGUUACAUCAAGACUGUUACAUAUCAGUCUCUGUUACCCAAACUGACUUGUUUUCCUUCAAAUCCUUCCAUCCUUUAUCCUUACAAAGAUAAAAGGGCUGUGUUUUGAAGGGAGAGCAUGCUUAAUCAGGAUGCUCUUUGACAAAAUAAAUAAAUAAAUAAAUAAUUAAGUGCUAGUUCAGAGAGAGGAUUUUCUUAAAUGUUGUUUGAAGAAAUUUUUUGCUCUGUAGUACAGAAAAGGUACAGUGACUUCUGGAGAUGUUCGGUGAAGUUGUUAACCAUUAGCAUUCUGCACAUUUACUUGUUUUUCUGUCCACUAAUUGUGUAACUGAACCCCCAGAUUUGCAGUGGAGAAAUACUUGCUGCUUUGGUUGACCUUUAUAGAAAUGUUCAUGAUACAUGCAAAGUAAGUUUUGGGGUGUGGACAAAAAUUGGUUCAUUAGCUGCUGGUCACUCCUGUAAUUUACUGUUCAUUAUGUUAUUGUUUUCAAAAUCAGUGUCAUGCAAAGUUAGAAAUGUUAAGUAUUUUAAAUUAAAU
Molecule: non-coding RNA, 5833 nt
Organism: Anas platyrhynchos (mallard)
Lineage: Eukaryota; Metazoa; Chordata; Aves; Anseriformes; Anatidae
Source: RefSeq, a predicted model, not a curated record